AGUAGAAUGGCUGAGGUUAAAAGGUAAAAGAUUGUAAAUCUUUUUAGGGGUUUGGAGUACUCUUCUACUA
RNAcentral lists this transfer RNA (70 nucleotides) under Pseudoglomeris angustifolia. RNAcentral's name for it is "tRNA-Tyr". It matches the Rfam family "tRNA". Rfam says of the family: Transfer RNA (tRNA) molecules are approximately 80 nucleotides in length. Their secondary structure includes four short double-helical elements and three loops (D, anti-codon, and T loops). The record is from RNAcentral. Lineage: Eukaryota; Metazoa; Arthropoda; Insecta; Blattodea; Blaberidae.